Molecule: ribosomal RNA, 300 nt
Filed under: Dolosigranulum pigrum
Lineage: Bacteria; Bacillati; Bacillota; Bacilli; Lactobacillales; Carnobacteriaceae
Description: bacterial LSU rRNA
Rfam family: Bacterial large subunit ribosomal RNA
Source: RNAcentral
ACCGAUGGAGGGACGCAGCAGGCUAAGAUAUGCCCACUGAUGGAUGUGGGUGCAAAUAAUAAGUCUGGCGAUGAGUCAAAUGCUUAUCGCUAAGGACAAGUUAUGACGCGGAGGGAAGUACAGUACCGAAGUAUCUGACGUCACACUGCCAAGAAAAGCUUCUAGAGAGAAAGCAACUGCCCGUACCGCAAACCGACACAGGUAGUCGAGAUGAGAAUUCUAAGGUGAGCGAGCGAACUCUCGUUAAGGAACUCGGCAAAAUGACCCCGUAACUUAGGGAGAAGGGGUGCUAACGCAAGU